Molecule: ribosomal RNA, 248 nt
Filed under: Ligilactobacillus salivarius
Lineage: Bacteria; Bacillati; Bacillota; Bacilli; Lactobacillales; Lactobacillaceae
Description: Lactobacillus salivarius partial 23S ribosomal RNA
Rfam family: Bacterial large subunit ribosomal RNA
Source: RNAcentral
UACAACUUGUACAGGAUAGGUAGGAGCCGUAGAAGUCGGAACGCUAGUUUCGAUGGAGGCAUUGGUGGGAUACUACCCUCGUUGUAUGAACACUCUAACCCUCGCCGGCAAUCACGGCGGGGGGCAGGGGCAGGGGGGGCGGUUGCCCGGGGGGGUCGCCCCCCAAAAGGGAAAGGCGGGGGCCCCAGGGUCCCUUGCGAAGGGUGGGGAGUCCUCGCCGGGGGGGAAGGGCGAAAGGUGCGUUACUG